RNAcentral lists this ribosomal RNA (896 nucleotides) under Laccaria gomezii. RNAcentral describes it as "partial large subunit ribosomal RNA". It matches the Rfam family "Eukaryotic large subunit ribosomal RNA", at positions 63 to 944 of the family's 3401-position model. Lineage: Eukaryota; Fungi; Basidiomycota; Agaricomycetes; Agaricales; Hydnangiaceae. The record is from RNAcentral.
AACUAACAAGGAUUCCCCUAGUAACUGCGAGUGAAGCGGGAAAAGCUCAAAUUUAAAAUCUGGCAGUCUUUGGCUGUCCGAGUUGUAAUCUAGAGAAGUAUUAUCCGCGCUGGACCGUGUACAAGUCUCCUGGAAUGGAGCGUCAUAGAGGGUGAGAAUCCCGUCUUUGACACGGACUGCCAGGGCUUUGUGAUAUGCUCUCAAAGAGUCGAGUUGUUUGGGAAUGCAGCUCAAAAUGGGUGGUAAAUUCCAUCUAAAGCUAAAUAUUGGCGAGAGACCGAUAGCGAACAAGUACCGUGAGGGAAAGAUGAAAAGAACUUUGGAAAGAGAGUUAAACAGUACGUGAAAUUGCUGAAAGGGAAACGCUUGAAGUCAGUCGCGUUGGCCAGGGAUCAACCUUGCUUUUUUGCUUGGCUUACUUUCUGGUUGAUGGGUCAGCAUCAAUUUUGACUGGUGGAAAAAGUUCAAGGGAAUGUGGCAUCUUCGGAUGUGUUAUAGCCUUUGUUCACAUACAUUGGUUGGGAUUGAGGAACUCAGCACGCCGCAAGGCCGGGUUUUAACCACGUACGUGCUUAGGAUGCUGGCAUAAUGGCUUUAAUCGACCCGUCUUGAAACACGGACCAAGGAGUCUAACAUGCCUGCGAGUAUUUGGGUGAAAAACCCAAGUGCGUAAUGAAAGUGAAAGUUGAGAUCCCUGUCGUGGGGAGCAUUGACGCCCGGAUCUGACCUUUUGUGACGAUUCUGCGGUAGAGCAUGUAUGUUGGGACCCGAAAGAUGGUGAACUAUGCCUGAAUAGGGUGAAGCCAGAGGAAACUCUGGUGGAGGCUCGUAGCGAUUCUGACGUGCAAAUCGAUCGUCAAAUUUGGGUAUAGGGGCGAAAGACUAAUCGAACCAUC